Sander lucioperca (pikeperch) is the source of this 918-nucleotide long non-coding RNA. RefSeq lists it as uncharacterized. The transcript is spliced from 4 exons. Lineage: Eukaryota; Metazoa; Chordata; Actinopteri; Perciformes; Percidae. The record is from RefSeq and is a predicted model, not a curated record.
ACACCAGACUUAUUUAUCAUUAGAAACGAUUUCUGGUGCUACUAAGAUGAUCUAUAAAAGAAUAGUGAAAGUGGAACAACAGGAAAUUUGAUGUCAUGGUUAUGGUUUGGGACCAUCUUUAGGUACAAAGAGAGUAAAUAAACAGGAUUGAUAUGAGGAACAGAAGCACUUGUCUGUGGGUCCUUGGUCUGGCUUCCGUGUUCUCCGCUAUGGUUCCACAGCAGCACCCUGAAACCUGUCCGUAUCUGGAUGGGAAAAGCAAUGUUGAUCCUCAGUCUGGCCUCCUGCAUUAGUGGCAUCAAUGAGAAACGGCUCCUUACUCGUGGUAACCCGUACAACUCUCUGCCUGUGGAAGCAAAGUUUGCAAACUCCCUUGGCAUCCUCAUUGUGGCCUUUGGAUUGGUCAUCUUUGGCAUCCUGUCCGAAAACAGAUGGCAGCGGCCGGAAACAGAUAGUGAACGUGCUCAUCUUCUGCUCAAUGAAGAGACAGCAUAUGAGAACACUGAUACAAUGUGCCAUGGCGAGCACAUAGUGCGCUGGUUUUCAAGAAAACUGCAUUGUAUUUCUCUGAUUAACAUGUUUACAAAGGAUAUAAGAAAACCUUGUAUUGAAGUUGUUUGAAGUGUUGUUGAAAGUACCAGUAUUCCUAGAAUCCUUGUAGUUUGCAGUAUUUAAGGGAGAUGGAUUUGUUUUACAAAUUUCAUAGAUUAUUUGUUCUUCUUUAUAGCUGAUCUAUGAUGACCUAUAUUGAUAUUUAGUGAAUCAAUUUUCUGUCUCUAUACGUACACAGCUGCAUGUAUUUUUAAUAAACGACAGAAAUGCAUGUUCAGUAUCAUUAUGGCAGCUUCACAAAAAGGCUUGUAUUACUAAUGUUGCUACAUGGUAUGGUUUAGAAACAAUAAAAGAGUUAUAACCUAA